UACAGAGGUCUCAAGCGUUGUUCGGAUUCAUUGGGCGUAAAGGGUGCGUAGGCGGCGCGGUAAGUCGGGUGUGAAAUCUCGGAGCUUAACUCCGAAACUGCAUUCGAUACUGCCGUGCUUUGAGGACUGGAGAGGAGACUGGAAUUUACGGUGUAGCGGUGAAAUGCGUAGAUAUCGUAAGGAAGACCAGUGGCGAAAGGCGGGUCUCUGGACAGUUCCUGACGCUGAGGACGAAGGUCAGGGGGAGCAAAACGGG
This 256-nucleotide ribosomal RNA is filed under the name uncultured bacterium. RNAcentral describes it as "partial 16S ribosomal RNA". It matches the Rfam family "Bacterial small subunit ribosomal RNA", at positions 524 to 777 of the family's 1533-position model. The record is from RNAcentral.